GCUAGUAAUGUGCAUGCCAAUAAGCAACUGGUGAAUAGUAACAAAUGGUCCCUAAACUAAUUAUUUGUAUUAAUUAAAUGGUAUUUUACAUGAUUCGGCAUCUGUGCAGUAAGGUAAAGUAUUUCACACUUUUCUCUGGGACUGAAAAAGAGCAGAGCAGGUCGCCCAGUGUGGUGCCUCUCAUCUUUUGUGUGCUGGUUUCCCCAUGCCAGCUUUCUGCUGUCACAUUAGUGCACAUCAAAUGCACGAGCUCACAUGCAAAUGUACUCUUAGACUUUUAGCUUUUUAGCUGGCUCAGUUGCUUCCUUUGCAAACAGGAAGUACUUUUUAGUCUUUCAAACCGAUUUGCUAAGUGUCAUCAUGUUUGUCUUUCCUUUUUAAGUGUCUCUCAGGGGUGUUUUUGGAGCAAUUAUUUACACCUGCUGCAAUGGGUAAGUGGGAGCAAGAAUCCUUCAUCAUAUAAUGAACUCCUGGCAGACCCUCGCUACUGAAUAUUUCCCUCUGGCCAGUGGAAUAGCAAGCCAGAUAUACAGUAAGUAAUAUCAACCAUGUGUGAUUGUGAAGUUUGUGUGGGUAUGUGUCAGAUGAUCAGUGUGAGUGGUCAGCCUGUUACAGGUCAAAGUUCAUGGUCAUCAAUGGUUGAGGCUGACGGCUCUCCAUCUGGUGGGGACUUGGCCUCUGAGGGUUAGGGCUAAAUAGUGUAAGUGCAGAGCUUGUCUUCAAAAGUUUUUUUCUGUGUGUGACAGAUCAAGUAUGUAAAUCACAUAUUCGUGUGUGUCCUGUGCCGGGUCUAAAGGCCUCUUCAGUUUACACUAUGUUUAGACGCAAAUUUAGCCCAUGGGUGUACUGAAUGCUCUAAUCACACACAACAAUACCUGUCAAACCAUUUGACCAUUCACAAAACACUGCACUUCUCUCUCUCUUUCUCUUCCUGGCAGGUAGAUCUUUGGUGCUGCAGCUGCAUGUCAUGAAUUGAAUGAAAGCAGGCACUUGAGCAACUAUGUGUGCACCCAGUAAAAAGCACAAUGUAGGAGCAUUAGUAUGCUAAUGAGGUGCGGGGCGACAGGUGGCCCGCUAGACAGCUCAAUUAAGCAGCUCGUUAAAGGCCAAGCUAACGAAGCGGCCUGCACUGCAAGCCUCAACAAACAAUGUGACUGUGCAGGCUACAAAUUGGUUUCCUGAACACUCUCCCUGACUGCCAUUGGUUGGAAAACAUAUAGUCCUGACCCAGUGUUCCUGUAUCAGGCUGAUCAGGAUGCAGAACAAUGUUUUGAUAGCACCUCAAG
Sinocyclocheilus rhinocerous is the source of this 1286-nucleotide long non-coding RNA. RefSeq lists it as uncharacterized. Lineage: Eukaryota; Metazoa; Chordata; Actinopteri; Cypriniformes; Cyprinidae. The transcript is spliced from 3 exons. The record is from RefSeq and is a predicted model, not a curated record.